AAGCAGGGAAUGACCCUGAGGAAAGUUUCUGCUUGGAGAAUCAGCUCAGGUGCUGCAGCAGCAGAGGCAAGAAGGACCUUCAAAGGGAGCAACUGCAGGAAAGGAUGAGAUUCAGCUCCACAGCCAGAUGGGAAGGGUGGAGAGAACCACCAGAACCAAAGCUCAGGAGGUUGCAGGCAGAGCUGCUGGAGGAAAGGGCUGGGUGGAAGAGAAGGAAGCCCUGCCCCAGCACUCAGACGCCCCAGUGCUCACCACCUCCAGCACUAGAGGACUCAAAGUGUAAUAGGAGGGAAGGAACCCACAGCACAGAGCAGUCAAGAAUCCAAGGCGGGUGAGUCACCAAUAACUAGUUCAAAGGAACACCUCAAGGAUC
Long non-coding RNA from Pezoporus flaviventris, 373 nucleotides. RefSeq lists it as uncharacterized. The record is from RefSeq and is a predicted model, not a curated record. The transcript has 3 exons. NCBI's taxonomy places the organism in Eukaryota, Metazoa, Chordata, Aves, Psittaciformes, Psittacidae.